This 433-nucleotide long non-coding RNA is filed under the name Crocodylus porosus (Australian saltwater crocodile). RNAcentral describes it as "lncRNA (ENSCPRG00005012843.1)". The record is from RNAcentral. Lineage: Eukaryota; Metazoa; Chordata; Crocodylia; Crocodylidae.
AUGAAUCCCUCAAGCUCCCCUGAGGCCUCUUUGCUGACUCUUCCUCUCUAUCUCCUCGUUUGCUGGCCGCUUCUGCUAACAAACAAACACGGUCUCCUUGCCAAGUUUGCAGGAGAAAUGCUCCCCCGUCCUGAUUUCAUCGCUGCAGUGCUCCGGCAGGUGGCUUUCUUCCUCCUCAUCAAUGAUUUCCACAGCCUGGCUCGUUCAGCAUCGCCACACCCCAGACUAAAGCUACCUCAGAUAAAUAAAAGGAAGACCAGCAGCACGUUGCUCACAAUGGAUGACCAACCUUGCGACGCACGGAGGGUCCUCUUACCAUGCCGGGCCUGACUGAGUUUGGCCAACGAGGCAGGAAUUUCUCAGUAUUUCAAGCUUGUUAAGUCUCUCAGAGUGAGUAAAUAAAGGAGAAGGUUUGGAGUAAGUAGUUAGCCUC